Halichondria panicea is the source of this 971-nucleotide long non-coding RNA. RefSeq lists it as uncharacterized. The record is from RefSeq and is a predicted model, not a curated record. The transcript has 4 exons. NCBI's taxonomy places the organism in Eukaryota, Metazoa, Porifera, Demospongiae, Suberitida, Halichondriidae.
GUCAAAUUUAGACUUGGGGACUCCAGCAUUAUCUAGUUCCUUCAUAAUUCAAAAUAAAGCUCUGAAGCUCCAAAUAAUAUUCCAGGAAAUUUCGAUUGAUACUGCACCCAUUCGAAUGUUCGGAUACAUAACGAGCGGAGAAAAUUGUGUUCCUACCACAUCAUUUAAUGGAAGUUCAGUUGCAAUCGAUUUCUCAGACCAAUCUCCUGGAGAUACUUACACAGUGUGUGUGAUGUUCAGAAACAAGGAAUGCUCUGCAAUCAAUUCCACUACUGUGACUGUUCCAGCUACGAUGAUUACCGUACAAGAAGUUAGGCCAUCUGGUUCUAGUUAUACGAUACGUUUGUCCCUCCCCUUCAUCGACUACCCUCCCGUGACCUGCUCAUUGUCUCCACCCUCUCCCCCCCUCAUUCGGACCCAAUUACCCUCCCCUUCCCGUACACAACCAACCAAAUCACAGUGACCUUCAUCGACAUCACUGCUGGAGUCUUCUACACCUACACAAUUAGAAUUAUUCUGGCCAGCAACCAAUCAAAUGAUGUCGUUUUUCCAGUCACUGGAAAUUUCAUAUUGGCUCUACAUGUAUUAGGAGAAUCUGUGCAGUCCCUCUCUACUGGUGAAGCAGUGGCAGUCAUUAUGGCAGCUACAUUCACUAUUUCCAUAGCGAUUGGACUCUUGCUGGGGAUGUCUCUAAUGUACUGCAUUAUGUACUACAGGAAUAGGGGACACUACGCAGUAAGACAGCGACAAGAAGAAAGCAUUCAACCCACUGUACCAAGUGGUCCUGUUUACGAAGAAGUUACUCCUAUCCAAGAACAAAUUGAGCUGAAACCGAAUGAAGCAUACGGACCAUUAUAAAACUGUACUAGUCUGGAAACCUAAACUCUUUGUAUUUGUGCACCACAAUAAUUAUGUGCGUAAAAAGUAGAAGCAUAUAUUAUAUACAUUUGCAUUGUUUGGUAGAUUAUUAU